GAUGAACGCUGGCGGCGUGCUUAACACAUACAAGUCGAACGGUGAAGGCGGAGCUUGCUCUGCUGGAUCAGUGGCGAACGGGUGAGUAACACGUGAGCAAUCUGCCCCUGACUCUGGGAUAAGCGCUGGAAACGGCGUCUAAUACUGGAUACGAGCUGCGAAGGCAUCUUCAGCAGCUGGAAAGAAUUUCGGUCAGGGAUGAGCUCGCGGCCUAUCAGCUUGUUGGUGAGGUAAUGGCUCACCAAGGCGUCGACGGGUAGCCGGCCUGAGAGGGUGACCGGCCACACUGGGACUGAGACACGGCCCAGACUCCUACGGGAGGCAGCAGUGGGGAAUAUUGCACAAUGGGCGAAAGCCUGAUGCAGCAACGCCGCGUGAGGGACGACGGCCUUCGGGUUGUAAACCUCUUUUAGCAGGGAAGAAGCGAAAGUGACGGUACCUGCAGAAAAAGCGCCGGCUAACUACGUG
RNAcentral lists this ribosomal RNA (468 nucleotides) under uncultured bacterium. Its description in RNAcentral is "partial 16S ribosomal RNA". It matches the Rfam family "Bacterial small subunit ribosomal RNA", at positions 28 to 507 of the family's 1533-position model. The record is from RNAcentral.